UGAGACCGGCGCACGGGUGCGUAACGCGUAUGCAAUCUACCUUGUACAGAGGGAUAGCCCAGAGAAAUUUGGAUUAAUACCUCAUAGUGUUAUCGAAUCGCAUGGUUUGAUAACUAAAGUUCCAACGGUACAAGAUGAGCAUGCGUCCCAUUAGCUAGUUGGUGUGGUAACGGCAUACCAAGGCAAUGAUGGGUAGGGGUCCUGAGAGGGAGAUCCCCCACACUGGUACUGAGACACGGACCAGACUCCUACGGGAGGCAGCAGUGAGGAAUAUUGGACAAUGGGCGCAAGCCUGAUCCAGCCAUGCCGCGUGCAGGAUGACGGUCCUAUGGAUUGUAAACUGCUUUUAUACAGGAAGAAACCCUACCACGUGUGGUAGAUUGACGGUACUGUAGGAAUAAGGAUCGGCUAACUCCGUGCCAGCAGCCGCGGUAAUACGGAGGAUCCAAGCGUUAUCCGGAAUCAUUGGGUUUAAAGGGUCCGUAGGCGGUUUAAUAAGUCAGUGGUGAAAGCCCAUCGCUUAACGAUGGAACGGCCAUUGAUACUGUUAGACUUGAAUUAUUAGGAAGUAACUAGAAUAUGUAGUGUAGCGGUGAAAUGCUUAGAUAUUACAUGGAAUACCAAUUGCGAAGGCAGGUUACUACUAAUAUAUUGACGCUGAUGGACGAAAGCGUGGGGAGCGAACAGGAUUAGAUACCCUGGUAGUCCACGCCGUAAACGAUGGAUACUAGCUGUUGGGAGCAAUUUCAGUGGCUA
RNAcentral lists this ribosomal RNA (756 nucleotides) under Flavobacterium sp. RNAcentral describes it as "bacterial SSU rRNA". It matches the Rfam family "Bacterial small subunit ribosomal RNA", at positions 90 to 849 of the family's 1533-position model. Lineage: Bacteria; Pseudomonadati; Bacteroidota; Flavobacteriia; Flavobacteriales; Flavobacteriaceae. The record is from RNAcentral.